This 460-nucleotide ribosomal RNA is filed under the name uncultured bacterium. Its description in RNAcentral is "partial 16S ribosomal RNA". It matches the Rfam family "Bacterial small subunit ribosomal RNA", at positions 338 to 795 of the family's 1533-position model. The record is from RNAcentral.
CCUACGGGUGGCAGCAGUGAGGAAUAUUGGUCAAUGGGCGGAAGCCUGAACCAGCCACGUCGCGUGAGGGAUUAAGGCCCUGCGGGUCGUAAACCUCUUUUGCCGGGGAGCAGAGUUCCGGACGUGUCCGGGCCGGGAUAGUACCUGGAGAAAAAGCAUCGGCUAACUCCGUGCCAGCAGCCGCGGUAAUACGUAGGAUGCGAGCGUUAUCGGGAUUUAUUUGGUUUAAGGGGUGCGUAGGCGGGCAUUUAAGCCGGCGGUAAAAUGUCGGGGCUAACUCCCGGCCUGCCGUCGGAACUGGGUGCCUUGAGUGGGCGAGAGGUAUGCGGAAUGCGUGGUGUAGGGGUGAAAUUCAUAGAUAUCACGCAGAACCCCGAUUGCGAAGGCAGCAUACCGGCGCCCUACUGACGCUGAGGAACGAAAGUGCGGGUAUCGAACAGGAUUAGAUACCCCUGUAGUC